GGGGUUGUGGCUCAGUGGGAGAGUGCAUGCCUGGCACAUGUGAGGCACUGGGUUCCAGUCUCAGCCCUCA
This 70-nucleotide transfer RNA is filed under the name Marmota monax (woodchuck). RNAcentral describes it as "tRNA.Ala". The record is from RNAcentral. Lineage: Eukaryota; Metazoa; Chordata; Mammalia; Rodentia; Sciuridae.